This 900-nucleotide ribosomal RNA is filed under the name uncultured bacterium. Its description in RNAcentral is "bacterial SSU rRNA". It matches the Rfam family "Bacterial small subunit ribosomal RNA", at positions 12 to 920 of the family's 1533-position model. The record is from RNAcentral.
UUUGAUCCUGGCUCAGGACGAACGCUGGCGGCGUGCCUGACACAUGCAAGUCGAGCGGAGACAGUGAGUAGCUUGCUACGAGCUGUUUUAGCGGCGGACGGGUGAGUAACGCGUGAGCAACCUUUCCCAGACAGGGGAAUAACACACCGAAAGGUGUACUAAUACCGCAUAAGACCACGGGAUCACAUGGUUCUGGGGUAAAAGAUUUAUCGGUUUGGGGUGGGCUCGCGUCCGAUUAGGUAGUUGGUGAGGUAACGGCCCACCAAGCCGACGAUCGGUAGCCGACCUGAGAGGGUGAUCGGCCACAUUGGGACUGAGACACGGCCCAAACUCCUACGGGAGGCAGCAGUGGGGAAUAUUGGGCAAUGGAGGAAACUCUGACCCAGCAACGCCGCGUGGAGGAAGAAGGUUUUCGGAUCGUAAACUCCUGUCCUUGGAGACGAGUAGAAGACGGUAUCCAAGGAGGAAGCCCCGGCUAACUACGUGCCAGCAGCCGCGGUAAUACGUAGGGGGCAAGCGUUGUCCGGAAUAAUUGGGCGUAAAGGGCGCGUAGGCGGCUCGGUAAGUCUGGAGUGAAAGUCCUGCUUUUAAGGUGGGAAUUGCUUUGGAUACUGUCGGGCUUGAGUGCAGGAGAGGUUAGUGGAAUUCCCAGUGUAGCGGUGAAAUGCGUAGAGAUUGGGAGGAACACCAGUGGCGAAGGCGACUAACUGGACUGUAACUGACGCUGAGGCGCGAAAGUGUGGGGAGCAAACAGGAUUAGAUACCCUGGUAGUCCACACUGUAAACGAUGAAUGCUAGGUGUAGGGGGUAUCGACCCCUUCUGUGCCGCAGUCAACACAAUAAGCAUUCCGCCUGGGGAGUACGGCCGCAAGGUUGAAACUCAAAGGAAUUGACGGAAGG